AGUCGAGCGAUGAGCACCUUCGGGUGUGAAUUAGCGGCGAACGGGUGAGGAACACGUGAGAAAUCUGCCUUCACACUGGGAUAACUCCGGGAAACCGGGGCUAAUACCGGAUAUGAAAUCUGCGGGCAUCCGCGGAUUUGGAAAGUUUUUCGGUUGAAGAUGAUCUCGCGGCCUAUCAGCUUGUUGGUGAGGUAAUGGCUCACCAAGGCGACGACGGGUAGCCGGCCUGAGAGGGCGACCGGCCACACUGGGACUGAGACACGGCCCAGACUCCUACGGGAGGCAGCAGUGGGGAAUAUUGGGCAAUGGAGGAAACUCUGACCCAGCGACGCCGCGUGCGGGAUGAAGGCCUUCGGGUUGUAAACCGCUUUCAGCAGGGAAGAAGCGAAAGUGACGGUACCUGCAGAAGAAGCACCGGCUAACUAUGUGCCAGCAGCCGCGGUAAUACAUAGGGUGCAAGCGUUGUCCGGAAUUAUUGGGCGUAAAGAGCUCGUAGGUGGUUCGUCACGUCGGAUGUGAAAAUCUGGGGCUUAACCCCAGACCUGCAUUCGAUACGGGCGAGCUUGAGUAUGGUAGGGGAGUCUGGAAUUCCUGGUGUAGCGGUGGAAUGCGCAGAUAUCAGGAGGAACACCAAUGGCGAAGGCAGGACUCUGGGCCAUUACUGACACUGAGGAGCGAAAGCGUGGGGAGCGAACAGGAUUAGAUACCCUGGUAGUCCACGCCGUAAACGGUGGGCACUAGUUGUGGGGACCUUCCACGGUCUCUGCGACGCAGCUAACGCAUUAAGUGCCCCGCCUGGGGAGUACGAUCGCAAGAUUNAAACUCANAGGA
This 831-nucleotide ribosomal RNA is filed under the name uncultured bacterium. RNAcentral describes it as "SSU rRNA". It matches the Rfam family "Bacterial small subunit ribosomal RNA", at positions 60 to 908 of the family's 1533-position model. The record is from RNAcentral.